RNAcentral lists this ribosomal RNA (512 nucleotides) under uncultured bacterium. RNAcentral's name for it is "partial 16S ribosomal RNA". It matches the Rfam family "Bacterial small subunit ribosomal RNA", at positions 28 to 523 of the family's 1533-position model. The record is from RNAcentral.
GACGAACGCUGGCGGCGUGCCUAAUACAUGCAAAUCAAGCGGAACUGGGGGAGCUUGCUCCUUCCAGUUUAGCGGCGGACGGGUGAGUAACACGUGGGCAACCUGCCCUGCAGAUCGGGAUAACUCCGGGAAACCGGUGCUAAUACCGAAUAGUUUGGCGCCUCUCCUGAGGCGCUACGGAAAGACGGUUUCGGCUGUCACUGCAGGAUGGGCCCGCGGCGCAUUAGCUAGUUGGUGGGGUAACGGCCCACCAAGGCGACGAUGCGUAGCCGACCUGAGAGGGUGACCGGCCACACUGGGACUGAGACACGGCCCAGACUCCUACGGGAGGCAGCAGUAGGGAAUCUUCCGCAAUGGACGCAAGUCUGACGGAGCAACGCCGCGUGAGUGACGAAGGUUUUCGGAUCGUAAAACUCUGUUGUGAGGGAAGAACACGUACCAACUAACUAUUGGUACCUUGACGGUACCUCACCAGAAAGCCACGGCUAACUACGUGCCAGCCGCCGCCGUAA